RNAcentral lists this ribosomal RNA (254 nucleotides) under uncultured bacterium. RNAcentral's name for it is "partial 16S ribosomal RNA". It matches the Rfam family "Bacterial small subunit ribosomal RNA", at positions 524 to 776 of the family's 1533-position model. The record is from RNAcentral.
UACGUAGGGAGCAAGCGUUGUUCGGAUUUACUGGGCGUAAAGGGCGCGUAGGCGGCGCGGUAAGUCACUUGUGAAAUCUCUGAGCUUAACUCAGAACGGCCAAGUGAUACUGCAGCGCUAGGGUGCAGAAGGGGCAAUCGGAAUUCUUGGUGUAGCGGUGAAAUGCGUAGAUAUCAAGAGGAACACCUGAGGUGAAGACGGGUUGCUGGGCUGACACUGACGCUGAGUGCGCGAAAGCCAGGGGAGCAAACGGG